Molecule: ribosomal RNA, 480 nt
Filed under: uncultured bacterium
Lineage: Bacteria
Description: bacterial SSU rRNA
Rfam family: Bacterial small subunit ribosomal RNA
Source: RNAcentral
AAUCAACGCUGGCGGCGUGCCUCAGACAUGCAAGUUGAACGAUUAAAGCUCUCUUCGGAGAGUGCAUAAAGUGGCGCACGGGUGAGUAACACGUAAGUAAUCUACCCUCGAGUGGGGAAUAACGUCCGGAAACGGACGCUAAUACCGCAUAACGCAGCGGCACCGCAAGGUGACAGUUGUUAAAGGAGAAAUCCGCUUGAGGAGGAGCUUGCGGCAGAUUAGCUUGUGGUAAGGUAACGGCUUACCAAGGCUACGAUCUGUAACCGGUCUAAGAGGACGGUCGGUCACACUGACACUGAAUAACGGGUCAGACUCCUACGGGAGGCAGCAGUCGGGAAUUUUGGGCAAUGGGGGAAACCCUGACCCAGCAACGCCGCGUGAAGGAUGAAGUAUUUCGGUAUGUAAACUUCGAAAGAAUAGGAAGAAUAAAUGACGGUACUAUUUAUAAGGUCCGGCUAACUACGUGCCAGCAGCCGCCGU